GGAAUCUUUGAACCAAUUGAGAUACCACCUGCUGUCAUCCCUCAUUAUCCUUUCCCCGGGAAAUCAUUGCCGCCAAUGUACCCUUCCUUUCCGAAGACAUAUGACCCUGUCUUGACUGGAAGAUGCCCUGUAAAUUUUUCUGUCAUUUCAAGCAUCACAGAAAAAACAGCAUCUGAUUGUACUCGAUCUUUGUCAAUGAUAGUUGGAAAUGUAAUAUGCUGUCCACAGUUCAAUAGCUUACUCCACAUAUUCCAGGGAUUUUACAGCAACCGUUCUGAUACUUUAGUUUUACAAAGUGCAGUAGCUGAUGAUUGUUUUAGAGAUAUCAUCAGUAUAUUAACUAGUAAAGGAGCAAACAGCUCCAUUGCUGGUCUGUGCUCUGUGAAGUCGUCAAAUCUAACUGGUGGGUCUUGCCCUGUGAAGGACAUUGGUACUU
Molecule: unclassified non-coding RNA, 436 nt
Filed under: Hevea brasiliensis (rubber tree)
Lineage: Eukaryota; Viridiplantae; Streptophyta; Magnoliopsida; Malpighiales; Euphorbiaceae
Source: RNAcentral